GAUUCAAUGGCUGUUUAUUGGUACAUUCUUUUAAAAAUUCACUUCUUUCCUCCUUUAUUUUAGCAUGUAAGUGUGACUUGGUUUCCAAUUGCCAAAGUGUGACAAGUUGUCUCAUAAACCUAUCACACUUCCAUGAAGAAGACAGCAGAAUUACAAAAACCAUGGGAAUCCCAUUCCUUCUCCUGUUAUGAUUAUCAAGGGAGGAGCAACCAAAGUGGAGCAAAGGUCUUACAGGUGGAAGCCCUGUUCUCCUCCUCUUCAGGAAGAGCCCAGGAAGGUAGAUGAGAAAAGAGGGCAGUUCAUCCACACGGUCUGCAACCUUCUCUGUCUGUUCUCAGUCUCAUGAAUCAAGCUCAAUGUGUAGAAGGACUUUGAUAAAGCUGUGUUGAAGAAUCAGUGACAAGGGAGGUAGUGCCCAUAUACCUUUUAGGGGCGUAAAUGUGUUGACUCAGCCACAAAUUUGAACCUCUCUCUUUCUUAGUCCUGUGAACAAUAACCAUGCACCACACAGCCCAGAUACUCCACAGGCAGCUCCAUGUGUGAGAUCACUUGAUUCUGCCCCACAAAAUCUUGCAGACAGUGACAUUACCUCAUUUUAUGGUUGCAGAAGCUACAGUGGGGUAACUCUGAGUAACUUGUUCAAGAUUUUUUAAAAUACUUGGAUUCAUCAGGACGAGAUUUUCCAGGGGGCUCUCUGACCCGAUCCUGUUCACUCUCAUUCUUUGGGACAAGGACAGCUUUGGCAGUGAGUCUAGAUGCCAAACCCACCAGCAGGCAAGGGGAUCUAUCUUGGGGUGCUUAGCAUUGUACAGCUCAAAGUGUGUGGCAACUCACUGUGUACGCAAGCUUGAAAACAAUCAGCAAUCUUCUUCAUUCAAUUAAACACUAACCAGCCUAGAUGCCAGAGAGAAGGGCAGGGUGGCAUCUUCUCUGAGAGCAUCUGCCAGUCCUUCCACACAGCGUGAGACUGGGUGUAAGAGACACUGCACUACUCUAACAAAAGAAUCCGGACGGUGGGAAAUCUGUGGAAUCUCUUCCUACACUGAAGAUGUUCUAAGAGAUGCUGGAAUUGAAGCCAAGAUCCAGCAAUGAAAAUGUAAACAUGGAGAGUGGCAACUUGAAGCCAUGGCUGAUACUUCUACCCAGAACCAAGCCGAUGUGCCUGCAAGAUUUGGGAAAUGAAACCCCUCAAAGAGGGGGGUUUGUUCAGACUGUACAUGAAAUAAGAGCAGAAAGAGGCAGCACAUGUCACUGGAUUCACAGCCCCUUGUCACUUGCCGAUGACAGGCCGCUGUCCUCUGGGAGCUUCCCCUGCCUGCUGGCUGGUGCUGGGCUCUGCUUGGCAGACUGGUGAGAUCCAUGUUUCUGGAGACUUAAGAUGCCAGGACCCAUCCUGCUCUGCAGCCUGGAUGGCCAGCUGAAGAUCUGACAGCCUCACCUGAAGGGAAAACAUCUCUAUGGCUGGGUCCCUCUCUCCUCUGGGUAUCAAAAAGUAGAUGGAGGAUCCACCGCAGGGAGUGUCUGAAACUCUUCUGGGACCACUUGGCGCCCCUCAAAUUAUGGGCCAAGCUAAAGAAAUGAAAACCAGAUGUG
Molecule: long non-coding RNA, 1593 nt
Organism: Heterocephalus glaber (naked mole-rat)
Lineage: Eukaryota; Metazoa; Chordata; Mammalia; Rodentia; Bathyergidae
Source: RefSeq, a predicted model, not a curated record